GCUGUUCUUUCUGGCGUCCUCCAUGGUACCUGGGCUGACACACAGCUGGCAGCUCGGCCUUCCCUGUUGGUACAUGCACUGCCUUCACCUUUGUCAGCAGCAUCCAAAACCGUUGCUCUACUUUAUGAUGAUCUUAUGCCCAUUUUGAAGUGGGGGUUGUGAAAAUGAAGAACAAGACAAGUGGCCGCGUGUUGCUGGAGGAAAAUCCACCGCAUGGGUGUGUGGUGCAGAUGAUUUGGCAAGAGUCUUGGCUCAAACUUCCUGUUUGGGAAAUAAGGAGGAGGCACUGGUACGUGCUGUACAGGAAUGCAGCUUAAGCACGGAGAGUGACGUUGACGUCGUCAAGUGGUCCGCAUGUAAACAAACCUGCGACCUGCCUGCUUCACCACAGACGUCACCACUGCACGCCGUGUCUUCAGCGUUGAUGUUUUCUUUGUGGAAGCACUGGAAAAUAAAAUGACGCAUCUGA
Non-coding RNA from Oryzias latipes (Japanese medaka), 469 nucleotides. The record is from RefSeq and is a predicted model, not a curated record. Lineage: Eukaryota; Metazoa; Chordata; Actinopteri; Beloniformes; Adrianichthyidae.